UACGUAGGGUGCAAGCGUUAUUCGGAAUUACUGGGCGUAAAGCGUGCGCAGGCGGUUUUGUAAGUUUGUCGUGAAAGCCCCGGGCUCAACCUGGGAAUGGCGAUGAAGACUGCAAGGCUUGCAUCUGGCAGAGGGGGGUAGAAUUCCACGUGUAGCAGUGAAAUGCGUAGAGAUGUGGAGGAACACCGAUGGCGAAGGCAGCCCCCUGGGUCAAGAUUGACGCUCAUGCACGAAAGCGUGGGGAGCAAACAGG
RNAcentral lists this ribosomal RNA (253 nucleotides) under uncultured bacterium. Its description in RNAcentral is "partial 16S ribosomal RNA". It matches the Rfam family "Bacterial small subunit ribosomal RNA", at positions 524 to 776 of the family's 1533-position model. The record is from RNAcentral.